GAAAUUUAACGGAUUUGGCGGCAAGAUAGCCCCUUAGAGGAACCUGCCCUGUAAACGAUGAACCACGAGGGACUCUACUUUCUUUGGUAGUCAGUUUGUAUAUCGCUGUUGUCAGUUAGAUUCUUGAGAAUAUUUUCGUUUAUGAAAAGUUCAUUGACUUCAAGUAAAGGUGCAGCUUAUAAGGAAGAUAGAGGUGGGUUACAUUUAUGAGAAUAAAACGGAAAGGAUGGAUGAAACAAUCCUUGAAGGUGGAUUUAACUGUAAAACUUAAGUAGGUUUGGUGAGAGCUCUAUCUUGUGUACACAC
This 306-nucleotide ribosomal RNA is filed under the name Tetraclita serrata. RNAcentral's name for it is "partial 12S ribosomal RNA". Lineage: Eukaryota; Metazoa; Arthropoda; Thecostraca; Balanomorpha; Tetraclitidae. The record is from RNAcentral.